ACCAACCCUGCCCUAAAAAUUAAAAGGGGGAGGAGAGGAACGGUGACUGAAACAGUAAGUAACAUGGGAACUUCUGCAAACGACGUCGCCUGUGACCAAAGCGCCAUCGUCCACAAAGGCGUCGACUAUGCUCAGUACUUCUGCACCUAUGCUUUCUUAUACCAUCAGAAGGAGAUGCUCUCCGAUCGCGUUCGCAUGGACGCAUACUUCAAUGCUAUUUUUGAAAACAAAUGUCACUUCACUGGCAAGACUGUGUUGGAUGUGGGUACUGGAAGUGGAAUUCUUGCUAUAUGGUCAGCACAAGCAGGUGCUAGGAAGGUUUAUGCAGUGGAAGCUACUAAGAUGUCUGAACACGCACGUGCGCUUGUCAAAGCGAAUAAUCUCCACCACGUGGUUGAGGUCAUUGAAGGAUCGAUGGAGGAAGUUACCCUGCCAGAGAAAGUUGACGUGAUCAUCUCUGAGUGGAUGGGUUAUUUUCUCCUACGUGAAUCUAUGUUUGAUUCAGUUAUACAUGCUCGUGACCGCUGGCUCAAACCUACAGGAGUGAUGUAUCCUAGUCAUGCUCGCAUGUGGAUGGCACCUAUCAGGACUGGAAUGGGAGAUCACAAAAUGGAUGAUUACCAGUCAGCUAUGGACGAUUGGCACAACUUUGUUGAUGAAACAAAAGCCUUUUAUGGUGUUGAUAUGAGCAUUUUAACGAAGCCUUUUUCAGUGGAGCAGAAGAAAUACUAUCUACAGACAUCAUUGUGGAGCAACCUUCAUACACAUCAAGUCAUAGGAACUGCUGCUAUAAUAAAGGAAAUUGAUUGUUUAACUGCCACAGUGACUGACAUAGAGAAAGUUAGAUCAAAAUUUUCUUUGUCAAUAACCAUGGACACCGCAAAAUUGUGUGGAUUUGGCGGGUGGUUUGAUGUACAUUUUCGGGGAAGAUGUGAGGAUCCAGCUGAACAUGAGAUUGAGUUAACUACAGCUCCUAGUGUAGAUUAUGGUACACAUUGGGGCCAACAGGUUUUUCUCUUGCAUUCUCCUACACAUGUGAGUGAAGGUGAUGAUUUAAGGGUUUCUUUUCUAAUGAAUCGUUCAAAGGAAAAUCAUCGUUUAAUGGAGGUUGAGCUUGGGUGUGAGAUUCAACAGCAUUCUGGCAAGCUUCUUGUGCCUUUAAAAAAUAAGUACUACAUUGAAUGACAGUGUGCGUUCUUGUGCUCUGGGACAAAAUACAAGGAAUGAGGAGCCCCUGAUUUGUGAUUGUGGAAUUGUGGGGUUAGCGCUCUGGGUGAAUUGAGUUUAUGAUAAAGUUAUAGACAAAAAGCAGUUGCGCCACUCGUUAUCACAAUUGCACUUCAUCUAAUCAUUAUUUGGUUGACUUACGAUUCACAGGACAUCUAUAGCAUGUAUAAGAGAUGGUUCGAUAACCCACGAUGAGACAGUAUAGAUGUUGCGAUAUAAUGGAUACGGAGAUUUCCAUGUGUCGCAUGUCCCGGAUAUGGGUGCACAAAAUCGUCAUCCCUAGAAA
Molecule: RNA transcript, 1513 nt
Organism: Abrus precatorius (Indian licorice)
Lineage: Eukaryota; Viridiplantae; Streptophyta; Magnoliopsida; Fabales; Fabaceae
Gene name: protein arginine N-methyltransferase PRMT10
Exons: 9
Source: RefSeq, a predicted model, not a curated record